Molecule: ribosomal RNA, 253 nt
Filed under: uncultured bacterium
Lineage: Bacteria
Description: partial 16S ribosomal RNA
Rfam family: Bacterial small subunit ribosomal RNA
Source: RNAcentral
UACGAAGGGGGCAAGCAUUGUUCGGAAUUACUGGGCGUAAAGGGUGCGUAGGCGGAUUAGACAGUCAGGUGUGAAAGCCCGGGGCUCAACCUCGGAAUUGCAUUUGAUACUACUAGUCUAGAGUAUUGGAGAGGAGCGUGGAAUUCCCAGUGUAGAGGUGAAAUUCGUAGAUAUUGGGAGGAACACCAGUGGCGUAGGCGACGCUCUGGCCAAAUACUGACGCUGAGGCACGAAAGUGUGGGGAGCAAACAGG